UCCCAGGACCUAGAUUUUCUGUGCAUUGUCAGAGAGAUGAAGGAAAAUUAGGUCUCCAAGAAGGCCAGGCUUUGCCUCAGAAUAAUAAGUUCCAGGUUUUAGCUUUUUCCACUGCGUAUGAUUAUCCUUUCUAAAGGAGAUUUGAAUUGCUGUGUGAAAAAUCCCCUGUCUCAGAUCAAAGAUGUUAUCACCUAACAGUGACCUGAAGCUCUCCUGCAGCAUAGGAGUUAAAGAAAACAGGGAACAAUUCAAACUGUUAACUAUCCUGGGGUGCUGGACACAGCAUCCUUAGGCAGUUAAUGGAGAGAGUGCAAGCCACUGUCUAGCAGUCCUGAUGGUAUGAAGCUGAAAUCACUGUUGUGCUCUUGAAGUCAGCCCUGAGCAACAUGACGGCGAAAUUGCAAGUGAAUUUCUGUGCCAGAUGGGACCUAACUAAACAUAUAAUUGAAACAGUGAGAUCACCUGGAUACACAAAGCUGUCAGCUAUAAAAAAGGCAUACUCCUAAUAGCUACUGCUAGAAACAGACCAAACCAGUUUUACAGGCAGCAUGGGCCUUAAAAGUUGAUGUAAAGGAAAUACAUUUUGGAAC
Long non-coding RNA from Cyanistes caeruleus (blue tit), 590 nucleotides. RefSeq lists it as uncharacterized. Lineage: Eukaryota; Metazoa; Chordata; Aves; Passeriformes; Paridae. The record is from RefSeq and is a predicted model, not a curated record.